GAUGAACGCUGGCGGCGUGCCUAAUACAUGCAAGUCGAGCGAACAGACGAGAGUGCUUGCACUCUCUCACGUUAGCGGCGGGCGGGUGAGUAACACGUGGGUCACCUCCCUAUAAGACUGGGAUCACCUCGGGAAACCGGAGCUAAUCCCGGAUAAUAUUUAGCUUCGCAUGAAGCUAUAGUGAAAGACGGUUCUGCUGUCACUUAUAGAUGGACCCGCGGUAUAUUAGCUAGUUGGUGAGGUAACGGUUUACCAAGGAAAAGAUACAUAGCCGACGCGAGAGGGUGAUCGGCCACACUGGAACUGAGACACGGCCCAGACUCCUACGGGAGGCAGCAGUAGGGAAUCUUCCGCAAUGGCCGAAAGCCUGACGGAGCAAUGCCGCGUGAGUGAAGAAGGUCUUCGGAUCGUAAAACUCUGUUGUAAGGGAAGAACAAGUACGUUAGUAACUGAACGUACCUUGACGGUACCUAACCAGAAAGCCACGGCUAACUACGUG
This 499-nucleotide ribosomal RNA is filed under the name uncultured bacterium. Its description in RNAcentral is "partial 16S ribosomal RNA". It matches the Rfam family "Bacterial small subunit ribosomal RNA", at positions 28 to 507 of the family's 1533-position model. The record is from RNAcentral.